This 1071-nucleotide ribosomal RNA is filed under the name Echinostomatoidea sp. Type II RS-2020. RNAcentral's name for it is "SSU rRNA". It matches the Rfam family "Eukaryotic small subunit ribosomal RNA", at positions 142 to 1106 of the family's 1831-position model. The record is from RNAcentral. Lineage: Eukaryota; Metazoa; Platyhelminthes; Trematoda; Plagiorchiida.
GAUAACGUAGUAUUCUAGAGCUAUACAUGCCAUUAUGCCCUGACCCGCAAGGGAACGGGUGGAUUUAUUAGAACAGAACCAACCGGGGGCGGCUUCGGUCGUCCCUGUUGCAUUCUGUGAUGACUCUGGAUAACUUCACUGAUCGCAGUCGGCCUUGUGUCGGCGACGGAUCUUUCAAAUGUCUGCCCUAUCAAUUUUCGAUGGUAGGUGACCUGCCUACCAUGGUGCUAACGGGUAACGGGGAAUCAGGGUUCGAUUCCGGAGAGGGAGCCUGAGAAACGGCUACCACUUCCAAGGAAGGCAGCAGGCACGCAAAUUACCCAAUCCCGGAACGGGGAGGUAGUGACGAAAAAUACGGAUACGGGACUCACAUGAGGCUCCGUAAUUCGAAUGAGUACAAUUUAAAUCCUUUAACGAGGAUCAACUGGAGGGCAAGUCUGGUGCCAGCAGCCGCGGUAACUCCAGCUCCAGAAGCGUAUAUUAAAGUUGUUGCAGUUAAAAAGCUCGUAGUUGGAUCUGGGUUGCAUGGCUACAUGCCGUCGCUCGUGUGUUCGUUGCGGUUACUGCCGUGGCGGUCAUAUGAGUCGGUCUCGUGGUUGUGCUUCCUUUCUGCUGUGUCUGUUUACAGGUGUCAGCGUGGCUGGUGGGCUCGCCUGCCGGUCUGUUGGCAUGCUUCUUGAUGCUCUUAACCGGGUGUCGGAGGCGGACAGCACGUUUACUUUGAACAAAUCUGAGUGCUCAAAGCAGGCCUUUGUGCCUGAAAGUUCUUGCAUGGAAUAAUGGAAUAGGACUUCGGUUCUAUUUUGUUGGUUUUCGGAUCCGAAGUAAUGGUUAAGAGGGACAGACGGGGGCAUUUGUAUGGCGGUGUUAGAGGUGAAAUUCUUGGAUCGCCGCCAGACAAACUACAGCGAAAGCAUUUGCCAAGGAUGUUUUCAUUGAUCUUGAGCGAAAGUCAGAGGUUCGAAGACGAUCAGAUACCGUCCUAGUUCUGACCAUAAACGAUGCCAACUGACGAUCCGUGGUGGUUCUUUAUGUGUCCCCACGGGCAGUCCCCGGGAAACCCUUAAGUCU